GGUCUGAGAGGACGACCAGUCACACCGGAACUGAGACACGGUCCGGACUCCUACGGGAGGCAGCAGUGGGGAAUAUUGGACAAUGGGGGAAACCCUGAUCCAGCGACGCCGCGUGGGUGAAGAAGGCCUGCGGGUUGUAAAGCCCUUUCGGUUGGGAAGAAAAGUUGCGACCUAACACGUCGCGACCUUGACGUAACCAACUAAAGAAGCACCGGCUAACUCUGUGCCAGCAGCCGCGGUAAUACAGAGGGUGCGAGCGUUAAUCGGAAUUACUGGGCGUAAAGCGCGCGUAGGCGGCUUUGCAAGCCGGAUGUGAAAUCCCCGGGCUUAACCUGGGAACUGCAUUCGGGACUGCAUUGCUAGAGUAUGGGAGAGGGAAGUGGAAUUUCAGGU
RNAcentral lists this ribosomal RNA (393 nucleotides) under uncultured soil bacterium. RNAcentral's name for it is "bacterial SSU rRNA". It matches the Rfam family "Bacterial small subunit ribosomal RNA", at positions 289 to 674 of the family's 1533-position model. The record is from RNAcentral.